Molecule: long non-coding RNA, 1111 nt
Filed under: Physcomitrium patens
Lineage: Eukaryota; Viridiplantae; Streptophyta; Bryopsida; Funariales; Funariaceae
Description: long non-coding RNA (PPAT_LNC008064)
Source: RNAcentral
AAGAAAUCUUAAAGAAAUAUAAUAAUAAUUAUAAAUAUAUCUUAAAUAAAUUUUAAUCAAGUUCUAAUUUAAUCCUAAUUAAAAUUCUAAUGGAAUUUAAUCAAAUCUUAGAUCAAAUCUCAAAUCCUAAAUAAAUCCUAAAUCUUAAAUUCUAAAUCCUAAAUAAUUCCUAAACCCUAAAUCUUAAGCAAAUCUUAAAUCUUAAAUCCUAAACCAAAACCUAACCAAUUCAAUUUAAUCCUAGUACAAUUUAGAACCUCAAUAUCUAUCGAUUAAACUAUUGAUCUUAUUGAAAAUUUAACAUACUUUUCAACAAUUAAGUCAGCAAUAAGCACACAAAAUUUAAAAAGAAUUGAUAGAUAAGAUAUUUGUAUUAUUAACACAUAGGGAUAGAUAGUUGAUACCAUACUUGAGAAGUUAUGAAACUUUCUAGAAUUAGAACUAGUUUAGUAGACUAUAUAAAAUCUAUCAUAGAAUAUUUUAAAAAGAGCUUAAGGUGGUGUCAUAAUACAUGAAGUCUUGCUUGAGAAUGCUCCGGGCACUUGGCUUUGGAAGGUAGAAUGGCAAUUGUAACAACAAAAUCUUAAUUCUAAUAGAAUACUAACUAAAUUCUAAUUAAACCAUAAUAAUGCUAAACAAGCUUUAAUCAAAUUCAAAGAAACAUCAAAGAAAUUUUAAAGAAAUAAUAAGAAAUCUUAAAGAAAUAUCAGAAUGAUGAUAAAUAUAUCUCAAUUUAAUCUGAAUUAAAUCCUAGUUAAAAUCCUAUUAGACUUCAUUCAAUCUUUAGGCCAAAAACUAAUUAAAUCUUAAACUCUAAAAAAACCCUAAUAAAAUCUUAAAUCCUAAAUCAAAUCCUAAAUCCUAAAUCAAAUCCUAAAUCCUAAACCAAAUCCUAACCAAAUCCUAAAUCAAACUCUAAUCAAACUUUAAACCCUAAGUCAAACCCUAACUCUAAAUCAAAUCCUAAUCAAAUCUUGAAUCCUAAACCAAUUCUCAAUCAAAAUCUAAACCAAAUCCUAAAUCCUAAAUCAAAUCCUAACCAAAUCCUAACCCUAAAUCAAAUCCUAACCAAACUCUAAACCCUAAAUCAAAUCGUAAAUCCUAAAUCAAA